This is a long non-coding RNA of Mustela erminea (ermine), 114 nucleotides long. RefSeq lists it as uncharacterized. Lineage: Eukaryota; Metazoa; Chordata; Mammalia; Carnivora; Mustelidae. The transcript is spliced from 2 exons. The record is from RefSeq and is a predicted model, not a curated record.
GCAGCAGAAGAAACAAAAGCAGAAGUAGAAGAAGAAGUAGAAGCAACAGGGGCAGAAUGAUAAACAGAAGAAGGAGAAGCAUAGCUGAACCAGAACCAGAAGAAGCAGCAGCAG